AGGGAAUCUUCCACAAUGGACGCAAGUCUGAUGGAGCAACGCCGCGUGAGUGAAGAAGGCUUUCGGGUCGUAAAACUCUGUUAUUGAAGAAGAACGUGUGUGACAGUAACUGGUCAUGCAGUGACGGUAUUCAAUCAGAAAGUCACGGCUAACUACGUGCCAGCAGCCGCGGUAAUACGUAGGUGGCAAGCGUUGUCCGGAUUUAUUGGGCGUAAAGCGAGUGCAGGCGGUCUUUUAAGUCUGAUGUGAAAGCCUUCGGCUUAACCGAAGAAGGGCAUCGGAAACUGGGAGACUUGAGUGCAGAAGAGGAGAGUGGAACUCCAUGUGUAGCGGUGAAAUGCGUAGAUAUAUGGAAGAACACCAGUGGCGAAGGCGGCUCUCUGGUCUGUAACUGACGNUGAGGCUCGAAAGCGUGAGUAGCAAACAGGAUUAGAUACCCUGGUAGUCCACGCCAGUAA
RNAcentral lists this ribosomal RNA (458 nucleotides) under uncultured bacterium. RNAcentral's name for it is "partial 16S ribosomal RNA". It matches the Rfam family "Bacterial small subunit ribosomal RNA", at positions 356 to 806 of the family's 1533-position model. The record is from RNAcentral.